Long non-coding RNA from Olea europaea var. sylvestris, 542 nucleotides. RefSeq lists it as uncharacterized. The transcript is spliced from 3 exons. The record is from RefSeq and is a predicted model, not a curated record. Lineage: Eukaryota; Viridiplantae; Streptophyta; Magnoliopsida; Lamiales; Oleaceae.
GAAUCUCCUUUAUUUGAUCUAGAAGUUGGCUCCUCACAGACACCUAAAAGCUCUGAUGAUACAUUUUUUGCCAGUAAAGAAGUGCAGGAUCAGGUUGAUGAGGCUAUUGCACGUGUGUUGGAGUCUACUGAACUUCAUUGUAAAGAUGAAGAUACACUUGCACCACCAUCAUCUGGACUACCUGUGAAGAGAGCACAAAAGCCAUCGAAAACUCUGCAGUCACCUUUUGUUAAGGUCGAUCCACGUCAUGCUGCUACUGGAUCAAAAUCUAACACUGUAAACGUCGUGUUCCAAAAUUAUUCGAAAGGAGUUGAUAGCACAGAUCUGAGUUCAUUUAAGAAUUGGUUUGACAGAGGAUACAAGCCCAAGAACAAGGUAAAGUUUAACGAUGCAGAUAACGUGAUAAGUCCUCAAUUUGUAUGUGGCACUGUCGCUGUUCAUUAUAAAACUUGGUGGCAUGCAUUGAUUGAUUCUAAUUCAUCAUUGAACAGCAUGGUACAAUUUUUUCACCAUUUUCCACAUAUGCAUAGUAGUUUUGUAUU